GGGGCAACCCUGCGAGUAGAGUGGCGAACGAGUGAGUAACACAUCGGAACGUGCCCAGGGGUGGGGGACAACCUCGAGAAAUCGAGGCUAAUACCGCAUACGUCCUGAGGGAGAAAGCGGGGGAUCUGCAAGGACCUCGCGCUCGUGGAGCGGCCGAUGCCGGAUUAGCUAGUUGGUGGGGUAAAGGCCUACCAAGGCUACGAUCCGUAGCUGGUUUGAGAGAACGACCAGCCACACUGGGACUGAGACACGGCCCAGACUCCUACGGGAGGCAGCAGUGGGGAAUUUUGGACAAUGGGGGCAACCCUGAUCCAGCCAUGCCGCGUGAGUGAAGAAGGCCUUCGGGUUGUAAAGCUCUUUCGGCCGGAACGAAAUCGGGUACGUGAAUAACGUGCCUGGAUGACGGUACUGGAAGAAGAAGCACCGGCUAACUACGUGCCAGCAGCCGCGGUAAUACGUAGGGUGCGAGCGUUAAUCGGAAUUACUGGGCGUAAAGCGUGCGUAGGCGGUUUUGUAAGUCAGAUGUGAAAUCCCCGGGCUUAACCUGGGAACUGCGUUUGAAACUACGGAGCUAGAGUGUGGCAGAGGGGGGUGGAAUUCCACGUGUAGCAGUGAAAUGCGUAGAUAUGUGGAGGAACACCGAUGGCGAAGGCAACCCCCUGGGCCGACACUGACGCUGAGGCACGAAAGCGUGGGGAGCAAACAGGAUUAGAUACCCUGAUAGUCCACGCCCUAAACUAUGUCAACUAGUUGUCGGAAAAGCAAUAUCUUGGUAACGAAGCUAACGCGUGAAGUAGACCGCC
RNAcentral lists this ribosomal RNA (803 nucleotides) under uncultured bacterium. Its description in RNAcentral is "bacterial SSU rRNA". It matches the Rfam family "Bacterial small subunit ribosomal RNA", at positions 76 to 873 of the family's 1533-position model. The record is from RNAcentral.